UACGGAGGAUGCGAGCGUUAUCCGGAUUUAUUGGGUUUAAAGGGUGCGCAGGCGGCACGGCAAGCCGGCGGUCAAAUCGCGGGGCUCAACCCCGCCCAGCCGUCGGAACUGCCGGGCUAGAGUGGGCGAGAAGUGCGCGGAAUGCGUGGCGUAGCGGUGAAAUGCAUAGAUAUCACGCAGAACUCCGAUUGCGAAGGCAGCAUACCGGCGCCCUACUGACGCUGAGGCACGAAAGCGUGGGUAUCGAACAGG
This 252-nucleotide ribosomal RNA is filed under the name uncultured bacterium. Its description in RNAcentral is "partial 16S ribosomal RNA". It matches the Rfam family "Bacterial small subunit ribosomal RNA", at positions 524 to 776 of the family's 1533-position model. The record is from RNAcentral.